GGUUAUGGAUCGGCUCACGGCCUAUCAGCUUGUUGGUGAGGUAAUGGCUCACCAAGGCGACGACGGGUAGCCGGCCUGAGAGGGUGACCGGCCACACUGGGACUGAGACACGGCCCAGACUCCUACGGGAGGCAGCAGUGGGGAAUAUUGCACAAUGGGCGAAAGCCUGAUGCAGCAACGCCGCGUGAGGGAUGACGGCCUUCGGGUUGUAAACCUCUUUUAGUAGGGAAGAAGCGAAAGUGACGGUACCUGCAGAAAAAGCACCGGCUAACUACGUGCCAGCAGCCGCGGUAAUACGUAGGGUGCAAGCGUUGUCCGGAAUUAUUGGGCGUAAAGAGCUCGUAGGCGGUUUGUCGCGUCUGCUGUGAAAUCCCGAGGCUCAACCUCGGGUCUGCAGUGGGUACGGGCAGACUAGAGUGUGGUAGGGGAGAUUGGAAUUCCUGGUGUAGCGGUGGAAUGCGCAGAUAUCAGGAGGAACACCGAUGGCGAAGGCAGAUCUCUGGGCCAUUACUGACGCUGAGGAGCGAAAGCAUGGGGAGCGAACAGGAUUAGAUACCCUGGUAGUCCAUGCCGUAAACGUUGGGCGCUAGAUGUGGGGACCAUUCCACGGUUUCCGUGUCGUAGC
RNAcentral lists this ribosomal RNA (625 nucleotides) under Pseudoclavibacter helvolus. Its description in RNAcentral is "bacterial SSU rRNA". It matches the Rfam family "Bacterial small subunit ribosomal RNA", at positions 217 to 852 of the family's 1533-position model. Lineage: Bacteria; Bacillati; Actinomycetota; Actinomycetes; Micrococcales; Microbacteriaceae. The record is from RNAcentral.